Rosa chinensis is the source of this 2155-nucleotide long non-coding RNA. RefSeq lists it as uncharacterized. Lineage: Eukaryota; Viridiplantae; Streptophyta; Magnoliopsida; Rosales; Rosaceae. The transcript is spliced from 5 exons. The record is from RefSeq and is a predicted model, not a curated record.
GGUUCCAAAACUUAAAAAUUUCACACUUGGAGAAAAAGAGCCCGACCCGAAAACUCGAGCUCGAGCUCCUCCGAUCCUCCUCACUCGAACUCGCCGCCAUUGUAACACUCAUCGCCUCCUUCAUCUGGUCCUUCAUCUCACCGCCUCCCACUACGACGACGCCUGGGACGAAGACGACGACGACGUCCUCAUCGACUCCAGCUGCUGCCCUCCUCCGGCCAAACCCUAAUUCGUUGAUAUCGGCCCCGCAUUGUGCUCCGACGAGGACGAUGACAUCAUCUAGGCCCUUCUAAACGGUGCCAUUGCGUCUUACUGUCUCGAAUCGAAGCUUGGCGACUGUAAGAGAGCAGCGACGAUUCGGCGCGAGUGGCUUCUCAUCUCCGAUCGGUGUAUGGAUUUCUAAACCCAGCCCCUCUUUUUCUUUUUCGCUCCUCCAUGUGUUCAAUUGUUGAAGUCCAGCUUGGGUGGCUUCUCAUCUCAGCUUCUCAUCUCCGAUUGUUUUUGUUCAGAGUUUGUGGGUGGCUUCAAGAACAUUAAAUUUGUGGAGAAAGUCCAGCUUGGGUCUUGCUUCCUUCCAAUCUUUUAUCCCUGCUGGGUUUCGAAUCAGGUCAGAGGAAGAAGAAGUUGCUAGCUACAAGGUGUACACUAUGGAGGGAAAGCUGAAAGGGACUCUUAGGAAGAGCUUCAGGUGGCUCAAGGAGACCUGAGAUAGAGUGCUCUAUGGCCGAUCGCACCCAGAUUGUGUCAGCUACUGAGCCAACUUGGGUAGCUGCUGAUUUGGCAAAGCUCUUCAAUUUUUGCUCAGUUGUGGAGCCAAUUUUCAGGAAGGCUCAUGGUUGUUGUAAAAUGCUUUGAACUGUUAAUACUGAGUAUAAGGAAAGGAAGGCAACUGUUCAGACUAGAUGAACAAAGCCUACCACAACUAAUGAGCAGGAGGAGAUUGAUGCACAAGAAGAAGAAAAAACGGAUACGGAUAGGAAUAUGUCAACGAUGUUUGAGAUCUUAAGAAAGAAGAAACGCUUCCGACUGGAAUGUUUAAUAUUAAACAAAAUGUUCUUUGCAUAGACAGUCGAGAAUCCAUUUGCUCUUUCAUUCCUUGUUAAAGAUGGCCGGGCUGAAAUCAUAGUUGAUGCAAAUCAUUCUCAUUUUGUUGGCUUAUAGGUAAUUAAACACAGGAACAAACUAAAAUUUUAUGAUAAACACGGCUCUUUCUAUACCAACUCGUUGGUACUUGGGGUCAACUUCUCUUUUUGAAACCUUGGAAAGAGUUCAAGUUGUGGUACGACAAACAUAAGGCUGAUUCUGGUAUGUAUUGCUGUUUACUUUUCUAUAUGUAAUUGCUGUCAUUUUGGCCUUAGUAACUUCCCCUUUGCCUUCACCAAUUAUGCCUCUUUAUAACUUUUGUUAUGUAUAUAUUGAAUUUGAUGGGUUUACAGACUUUGAGAUGGACACUUAUGGGUGGAUUUGUCUUGCCUGUAUUAUCCCUUUUGCACUAGCAGUGCGUGGAUGCUGUCAUACGGCUACAUGUAGAUUAUUUAAAACUUAACAUUGCGUGGUUAAUACCUUAAAGAGGUUCAAUCUUAAUGUUGCAAAUGUUUGCUCUAGUUGGGUGGUUAAGUCCCCUCCCUGCUGACAUUAGGUUGAUAUGCUAUUGCUAGUGUAUUAUUUAUGUAUGCCAUGAUCCUUAGGGUUUGCUAGAUCUGAUUAUUCUGGUUCUGCAAUGUAGUUAAUUGUGAAGAUCUUUCUUUCCAUUGUGUUCAAUUAUUGGCACUGCCUACAGGCUGUGAGGGUUCUUAUUUUUAGGGCACUUGACUUCCGGUUUGCUGUUUUUCCAGAUUUAUUCUUGACAAGAAAAUAGGUCUCGGUCAGCCUAAAUAAACAUUGCAUUCUUUCCUUUCAGGUGCUGAAUGCUGCAUGGGAUGUUUGCAUACCAAUUUCAAGUGAGAAUGCUCUUUUAUGUCAUAAUCGCGUCGGGUACAACAAGAUAUUGGAUAAUUCAAGUGCUAAUUGUAGCUUGUCGUUCAAAUGUUUCUAGGCCAGCCUGUGUAGGUUUUGGGGUUUUAUUUUGUGAAUUAUGUAGAAUCAUGAAUUUGGAAAGAAAAUUAAUGGAAAUCCCCAAUUUUUGGAUGAUGAGAAAUGUAUAUCUUUUCCCACC